GCGCUACCUUCGGGUGGAGCGGCGGACGGGUUAGUAACGCGUGGGAAUAUACCCUUCACUAUGGAAUAGCCUCGGGAAACUGAGAGUAAUACCAUAUACGCCCUUCGGGGGAAAGAUUUAUCGGUGAAGGAUUAGCCCGCGUAAGAUUAGAUAGUUGGUGGGGUAAUGGCCUACCAAGUCUACGAUCUUUAGCUGGUUUUAGAGGAUGAUCAGCAACACUGGGACUGAGACACGGCCCAGACUCCUACGGGAGGCAGCAGUGGGGAAUCUUAGACAAUGGGCGCAAGCCUGAUCUAGCCAUGCCGCGUGAGUGAUGAAGGUCUUAGGAUCGUAAAGCUCUUUCGCUAGGGAUGAUAAUGACAGUACCUAGUAAAGAAGCCCCGGCUAACUCCGUGCCAGCAGCCGCGGUAAUACGGAGGGGGCUAGCGUUGUUCGGAAUUACUGGGCGUAAAGCGUACGUAGGCGGAUCAGAAAGUAUGGGGUGAAAUCCCAGGGCUUAACCCUGGAACUGCCUCAUAAACUCCUGGUCUUGAGUUCGAGAGAGGUGAGUGGAAUUCCAAGUGUA
RNAcentral lists this ribosomal RNA (565 nucleotides) under uncultured Phaeobacter sp. RNAcentral's name for it is "bacterial SSU rRNA". It matches the Rfam family "Bacterial small subunit ribosomal RNA", at positions 66 to 677 of the family's 1533-position model. The record is from RNAcentral. Lineage: Bacteria; Pseudomonadati; Pseudomonadota; Alphaproteobacteria; Rhodobacterales; Roseobacteraceae.